This 66-nucleotide transfer RNA is filed under the name Speleomantes italicus (Italian cave salamander). RNAcentral's name for it is "tRNA-Ser". Lineage: Eukaryota; Metazoa; Chordata; Amphibia; Caudata; Plethodontidae. The record is from RNAcentral.
GAGAAGGGUUUGAAACACAGAAACUGCUAAUUAUCUGACCCGUGGUUAAACUCCACGACCUGCUCA